AGGGCUGCAGUAUAUUGACUGUACAAAGGUAGCAUAAUCAUUAGUCAUUUAAUUGAUGACUUGUAUGAAGGAUUGGAUGAGAUAUAAACUGUCUCUUAUUUAAUUAUAAAAUUUAAUUUUUUUAUUAAAAAGUUAAAAUAUUUUAAAAAGACGAGAAGACCCUAUAGAGUUUAAUAAAUAUUUAAGUUAAGAUUAUUUUGAGGUAUAAGCUUGAAAUUUAAUUAUUUAUUUUGUUGGGGUGAUAAAAAAAUAUGUAAAACUUUUUUUAAGAUAAAACAUUUAUAAGUGAUUAAAUGAUCCAAUAUUAUUGAUUAUAAGAAAAAAUUACCUUAGGGAUAACAGCGUAAUUUUUUUUUUUAGUUCAAAUAAGAAAAAGAGUUUGCGACCUCGAUGUUGGAUUAAGAUAAAAUUUAAA
Molecule: ribosomal RNA, 415 nt
Filed under: Acrapex mpika
Lineage: Eukaryota; Metazoa; Arthropoda; Insecta; Lepidoptera; Noctuidae
Description: partial 16S ribosomal RNA
Source: RNAcentral